AGGACUAACGCUGGCGGCGUGCCUAACACAUGCAAGUCGAACGGGGUAGCAAUACCCAGUGGCAGACGGGUGAGUAACACGUGGUCAACCUACCUCUGUGUGGGGGAUAACUAGCCGAAAGGUUAGCUAAUACCGCAUACGAUCGUUUUGAGGCAUCUCGAGACGAUGAAAGGAGCAAUCCGCACGGAGAGGGGACUGCGUCCCAUUAGUUAGUUGGUGGGGUAACGGCCUACCAAGACUCCGAUGGGUAGCUGGCUUGAGAGAGCGACCAGCCACACUGGAACUGAGAAACGGUCCAGACUCCUACGGGAGGCAGCAGUGAGGAAUUUUCCGCAAUGGGCGAAAGCCUGACGGAGCGACGCCGCGUGUGGGAUGAAGGCCUUCGGGUCGUAAACCACUGUCGAAGGGACGAUAAUGACGGUACCCUUGGAGGAAGCCCCGGCUAACUACGUGCCAGCAGCCGC
RNAcentral lists this ribosomal RNA (464 nucleotides) under uncultured bacterium. RNAcentral's name for it is "SSU rRNA". It matches the Rfam family "Bacterial small subunit ribosomal RNA", at positions 26 to 518 of the family's 1533-position model. The record is from RNAcentral.